GGCCACAUCACGUUGAAACACCAGCUCCCGUACGAUCGCCGAAGUUAAGCCACGUCGAGCCUGGUCAGUACUUAGAUGGGUGACCGCUUGGGAAUACUAGGUACUGUAAG
This 110-nucleotide ribosomal RNA is filed under the name Acanthosepion pharaonis. Lineage: Eukaryota; Metazoa; Mollusca; Cephalopoda; Sepiida; Sepiidae. The record is from RNAcentral.